Molecule: ribosomal RNA, 404 nt
Filed under: Actinomycetes bacterium
Lineage: Bacteria; Bacillati; Actinomycetota; Actinomycetes
Description: Actinobacteria bacterium partial 16S ribosomal RNA
Rfam family: Bacterial small subunit ribosomal RNA
Source: RNAcentral
UGGGGAAUAUUGGACAAUGGGCGCAAGCCUGAUCCAGCCAUGCCGCGUGAGUGAUGAAGGCCCUAGGGUUGUAAAGCUCUUUCACCGGUGAAGAUAAUGACGGUAACCGGAGAAGAAGCCCCGGCUAACUUCGUGCCAGCAGCCGCGGUAAUACGAAGGGGGCUAGCGUUGUUCGGAUUUACUGGGCGUAAAGCGCACGUAGGCGGACUUUUAAGUCAGGGGUGAAAUCCCGGGGCUCAACCCCGGAACUGCCUUUGAUACUGGAAGUCUUGAGUAUGGUAGAAGUGAGGAGAAGUCCGGGUGUAGAGGUGAAAUUCGUAGAUAUUCGGAGGAACACCAGUGGCGAAGGCGGCUCACUGGACCAUUACUGACGCUGAGGUGCGAAAGCGUGGGGAGCAAACAGG